UUUUUAGUAUAAGUAUGUUUUAUGCAAUAUUUGGGACAUACUUAUAUUAGAA
Ovis aries (sheep) is the source of this 52-nucleotide microRNA precursor. It matches the Rfam family "mir-1302 microRNA precursor family". NCBI's taxonomy places the organism in Eukaryota, Metazoa, Chordata, Mammalia, Artiodactyla, Bovidae. The record is from Rfam.